Molecule: ribosomal RNA, 961 nt
Filed under: compost metagenome
Description: bacterial LSU rRNA
Rfam family: Bacterial large subunit ribosomal RNA
Source: RNAcentral
GGUAGCGAAAUUCCUUGUCGGGUAAGUUCCGACCUGCACGAAUGGCGUAACGGUGGCCCCACUGUCUCCUGCUGGGACUCAGCGAAAUUGAAGUGGUUGUGAAGAUGCAAUCUACCCGCGGCUAGACGGAAAGACCCCAUGAACCUUUACUGCAGCUUUGCAUUGGACUUUGAUGUGGCCUGUGUAGGAUAGGUGGGAGGCAAAGAAGCCGAGGCGCCAGCUUCGGUGGAGCCGUCCUUGAAAUACCACCCUGGCCCCAUCGAGGUUCUAACCGCGGUGGGUGCAUCCCCACCCGGGACCGUGCAUGGCAGGCAGUUUGACUGGGGCGGUCUCCUCCCAAAAGGUAACGGAGGAGCACGAAGGUACGCUUGGCGCGGUCGGAAAUCGCGCUGUACGUGCAAGGGCAUAAGCGUGCUUGACUGCAAGGCCCACAAGCCAAGCAGGUGCGAAAGCAGGUCCUAGUGAUCCGGUGGUCCCGCAUGGAAGGGCCAUCGCUCAACGGAUAAAAGGUACUCUGGGGAUAACAGGCUGAUACCGCCCAAGAGUUCACAUCGACGGCGGUGUUUGGCACCUCGAUGUCGGCUCAUCUCAUCCUGGGGCUGUAGUCGGUCCCAAGGGUAUGGCUGUUCGCCAUUUAAAGAGGUACGUGAGCUGGGUUUAAAACGUCGUGAGACAGUUUGGUCCCUAUCUGCCGUGGGCGUAGGAAGUUUGAGGGGAGCUGCUCCUAGUACGAGAGGACCGGAGUGGACGCACCUCUGGUGUACCGGUUGUCACGCCAGUGGCACCGCCGGGUAGCUAAGUGCGGAAGAGAUAAGCGCUGAAAGCAUCUAAGCGCGAAACUCACCCCAAGAUGAGACUUCCCGAUCAGGGCCGUGGAAGACCACCACGUUGAUAGGCGGCAUGUGUAAGCGCUGCAAGGCGUUGAGCUGAGCCGUACUAAUUGCCCGACCGGCUUGAUCCU